RNAcentral lists this long non-coding RNA (1251 nucleotides) under Salmo salar (Atlantic salmon). RNAcentral describes it as "lncRNA (ENSSSAG00000082964.1)". The stretch from base 217 to 270 matches the Rfam family "UnaL2 LINE 3' element". The record is from RNAcentral. Lineage: Eukaryota; Metazoa; Chordata; Actinopteri; Salmoniformes; Salmonidae.
CUGCUGGCCCCCCUACUUCUGAGGAAGCACAGUUCCCGCUCAGCCCAGUCAAAACUGUUCGCUGCUCUGGCACCCCUAUGGUGGAACAAGCUCCCUCAUGACGCCAGGACAGCGGAGUCAAUCACCACCUUCCGGAGACACCUGAAACCCUCCCCCCCCCUAAAAGAUUUAGAUGCACUAUUGUAAAGUGGUUGUUCCACUGGAUAUCAUAAGGUGAAUGCACCAAUUUGAAAGUCGCUCUGGAUAAGAGCGUCUGCUAAAUGACUUAAAUGUAAAUGUAAAUGUAACAGAGUAGAAGGGGAGUAGAAUGUUGUCUGUAGUGUUUAACAGAGUAGGAGGGGAGGGGAAUAGAGUGUUCUCUGCAGUGUUUUAAAGAGUAUAAAGGGAGUAGAGUAGAGUGUUGUCUGCAGUGUUUAACAGAGUAGGAGGGGAGUAGAGUAGAGUGGUGACUGUAGUUUUUGACAGAGUAGGAGUGGAGUAGAGUUUUGUCUGUAGUGUUUAACAGAGUAGGGGGGGGGUAGAGUGUUGUCUGUAGUGUUUAACAGAGUAGAAAGGGAGUAGAGUAGAGUGUUGUUUGUCGUGUUUAACAGAGUAGGAGAGGAGUAGAGUAGAGUGUUGUCUGUCGUGUUUAAAAGAGUAGGAGGGGAGUAGAGUGUUGUCUGUAGUGUUUAAUAGAGUAGGAGGGGAGUAGAGUAGAGUGUUGUCUCUAGUGUUUAACAGAGUAGAAGGGGAGUAGAUUGUUCUCUGUAGUGUUUAACAGAGUAGAAGGGGAGUAGAGUGUUCUCUGCAGUGUUUAACAGAGAAGGAGAGGAAUAGAGUAUAGUGAUGUCUGUCGUGUUUAACAGAGUAGGAGGGGAGUAGAGUAGAGUGGUGACUGUAGUUUUUAACAGAGUAGGAGUGGAGUAGAGUGUUGUCUGUAGUGUUUAACAGAGUAGGAGUGGAUUCGAGUAUUGUCUGUAUUGUUUAACAGAGUAGGAGGGGAGUAGAGUAGCGUGUUGUCUGUAGUGUUUAACAGAGUAGAAAGGGAGUAGAGUAGAGUGUUGUUUGUAGUGUUUAACAGAGUAGGAGAGGAGUAGAGUAGUGUGUUGUCUGUCAUGUUUAAAAGAGUAGGAGGGGAGUAGAGUGUUGUCUGUAGUGUUUAAAAGAGUAUAAAGGGAGUACAGUAGAGUGUUGUCUGUAGUGUUUACCAGAGUAGGAGGGGAGUAGAGUGUUCUCUGUAGUGUUUAACAGAGUAGGAGGGUAGAGUAGAGU